UGAUACCUUUAGUGUACACCAGGUCAGGCAGACUGUGUAUAACCCAUUAUGGAAAAUAUUAAAGAGAACAAUGAGGAUUAUGACAAACCUGCCAGAGAGAGGACUUUCAGAGGGAAGCAUCAAAUUCAAGAUAUGAACAGUAAAUCAGAGGAAGACAUUCUUGUGGAUGACUGGCUGACAUCCAAACAAGAUCUCUUGGACACAUCAGAUGAAGAGCUGAACGAUGACCUUUUGCGUAGUGAUGAUGAGAACGAAACUAUGAGAUGUGCCGAUGAAAGUGUUUCUAAACCAAAAGUUCAGGCGAUUGCGAAGCCUUACCUUGUGUGCAAAACUCCGCACCUUGCUGAAGACCAAGCCAGAUGUCCUAAAGAAGAGCAGACCGAGGUGGACCCUGGUGAAGUUUUAGACAUCGAAAUCAAUGCUCCCUCUGGAGAUGAAUUUCAACUUGCACCCUUCAGGCAAGUACGUUCCACCCACAGACGAAACCCUCCAGAGUCCUGAGUCACACCCUAGGUCUCUCUCUCUUUCUGAGCCCCCACAACACUUCAAGCCAAUCGGCACUUUCCUCAGGACCAGAAGAGCCCUCUUUCGGCAAGUGCCCUUGAUGUCUAUACAAAGCCUGGCCUGGCCUGCUGUGGUUCCCUUGAGCAUCCAAGGGAGUAGCAGCUGCUCGCUCAGUGUGUGUGUGUAUGUGUGUGUGUGUGUGUGUGUGUGUGCGCGCUCACAGACGGUGCUGUGUGUAUAUGUUUUCUACUGCUAUUAAUCAUGAGUGCCCUGGCUAAACACUGUUUGAGUUGAAUCUGUAAACAUUGAUAGGCGUCCUUGUGCAACUGGAAAGGUUUGAUAUGGGCUUUAGGCACAUGUUUAUUUCAUUUCUAGGGAGGAGGGGGACUUAAUGCUCAAUAGGAUGUGAGGUCACGGGCUAGGUACAUAUGCCCCAGCGUCAACAUUUCUAUUCAAAGUCUAAUUCGUUAUAAAAUGUCGUUCUUAAAUAUCUUUUCCUUAAAUUAGUUCUGCUGUACACAUGAGAUGUCAAGAAAUGAGUUUUUAUCAUGUAACCUGAACCUAAAGUUCAAUCUGUUUUCUUGUAAUCA
This is an RNA transcript of Megalobrama amblycephala (Wuchang bream), 1094 nucleotides long. RefSeq lists it as uncharacterized. The transcript is spliced from 7 exons. The record is from RefSeq and is a predicted model, not a curated record. Lineage: Eukaryota; Metazoa; Chordata; Actinopteri; Cypriniformes; Xenocyprididae.